This 429-nucleotide ribosomal RNA is filed under the name Bacteroidota bacterium. RNAcentral's name for it is "Bacteroidetes bacterium partial 16S ribosomal RNA". It matches the Rfam family "Bacterial small subunit ribosomal RNA", at positions 355 to 776 of the family's 1533-position model. The record is from RNAcentral. Lineage: Bacteria; Pseudomonadati; Bacteroidota.
UAGGGAAUCUUCCGCAAUGGACGCAAUUCUGACGGAGCAACGCCGCGUGAGUGAAGAAGGAUUUCGGUUCGUAAAACUCUGUUGUUAGAGAAGAACAGCGCAUAGAGUAACUGUUAUGCGUGUGACGGUAUCUAACCAGAAAGCCACGGCUAACUACGUGCCAGCAGCCGCGGUAAUACGUAGGUGGCAAGCGUUGUCCGGAUUUAUUGGGCGUAAAGCGAGCGCAGGCGGUCAAUUAAGUCUGAUGUGAAAGCCCCCGGCUCAACCGGGGAGGGUCAUUGGAAACUGGUUGACUUGAGUGCAGAAGAGGAGAGUGGAAUUCCAUGUGUAGCGGUGAAAUGCGUAGAUAUAUGGAGGAACACCAGUGGCGAAGGCGACUCUCUGGUCUGUAACUGACGCUGAGGCUCGAAAGCGUGGGUAGCAAACAGG